Molecule: ribosomal RNA, 434 nt
Filed under: uncultured bacterium
Lineage: Bacteria
Description: partial 16S ribosomal RNA
Rfam family: Bacterial small subunit ribosomal RNA
Source: RNAcentral
AGCGAACGCUGGCGGCAGGCCUAACACAUGCAAGUCGAACGAACCUUUCGGGGUUAGUGGCGGACGGGUGAGUAACACGUGGGAACGUGCCUUUAGGUUCGGAAUAACCCAGGGAAACUUGUGCUAAUACCGAAUGUGCCCCUCGGGGGAAAGAUUUAUCGCCUUUAGAGCGGCCCGCGUCUGAUUAGCUAGUUGGUUGAGGUAAUGGCUCACCAAGGCGACGAUCAGUAGCUGGUCUGAGAGGAUGAUCAGCCACAUUGGGACUGAGACACGGCCCAAACUCCUACGGGAGGCAGCAGUGGGGAAUCUUGCGCAAUGGGCGAAAGCCUGACGCAGCCAUGCCGCGUGAAUGAUGAAGGUCUUAGGAUUGUAAAAUUCUUUCACCGGGGACGAUAAUGACGGUACCCGGAGAAGAAGCCCCGGCUAACUUCGUG